GAUGAACGCUGGCGGCGUGCUUAACACAUGCAAGUCGAACGAAGCACUUUAUUUUAUUUCCUUCGCUACUGAUUAUUUUGUGACUGAGUGACGGACGUGUGAUUUCCGCGUGUUUAACCUGCCUUGUACAGGCUGAUAACAAUUCCAAACGGCUGCUACUACCGCAUAAUCGCACAGCAUCACUUUCUGCAGUGUGAAAAACUCCCGUGGUAUAACAUGGACCCGCGUUGGAUUAGCUAGUGGGUGAGGUAACGGCCAACCAAGGCGACGAUGCAUAGCCGAGCGGGGAGGGGGACAGGCUACAAUUGGACUGAGACACGGACUAAAAUGCUACGGGAGGGAGCAGUGGGGAAUAUAGCACAAGGGGCGAAAGCGUGAUGAAGCGACGCCGGGUGAGCGAAGAAGUAUGUCGGUAUGUAAAGCUCUAUCAGAAGGGAAGAGAAUGACGGUACCGGACGAAGAAGCACCGGCUAAAUACGUG
Molecule: ribosomal RNA, 481 nt
Filed under: uncultured bacterium
Lineage: Bacteria
Description: partial 16S ribosomal RNA
Rfam family: Bacterial small subunit ribosomal RNA
Source: RNAcentral